This 909-nucleotide ribosomal RNA is filed under the name Paraphaeosphaeria neglecta. RNAcentral describes it as "eukaryotic LSU rRNA". It matches the Rfam family "Eukaryotic large subunit ribosomal RNA", at positions 38 to 964 of the family's 3401-position model. Lineage: Eukaryota; Fungi; Ascomycota; Dothideomycetes; Pleosporales; Didymosphaeriaceae. The record is from RNAcentral.
GCAUAUCAAUAAGCGGAGGAAAAGAAACCAACAGGGAUUGCCCUAGUAACGGCGAGUGAAGCGGCAACAGCUCAAAUUUGAAAUCUGGCUCUCUUUGGGAGUCCGAGUUGUAAUUUGCAGAGGAUGCUUUGGCAUUGGCGGCGGUCUAAGUUCCUUGGAACAGGACAUCACAGAGGGUGAGAAUCCCGUACGUGGUCGCCUGCCCUUGCCGUGUAAAGCUCCUUCGACGAGUCGAGUUGUUUGGGAAUGCAGCUCUAAAUGGGAGGUAAAUUUCUUCUAAAGCUAAAUACUGGCCAGAGACCGAUAGCGCACAAGUAGAGUGAUCGAAAGAUGAAAAGUACUUUGGAAAGAGAGUCAAAAAGCACGUGAAAUUGUUGAAAGGGAAGCGCUUGCAGCCAGACUUGCCCGCAGUUGCUCACCUAGGCUUUCGCCUGGGGCACUCUUCUGCGGGCAGGCCAGCAUCAGUUUGGGCGGUUGGAUAAAGGCCUCUGUCACGUAUCUCCCUUCGGGGUGACCUUAUAGGGGAGGCGCAAUGCAACCAGCCCGGACUGAGGUCCGCGCAUCUGCUAGGAUGCUGGCGUAAUGGCUGUAAGCGGCCCGUCUUGAAACACGGACCAAGGAGUCUAACAUCUAUGCGAGUGUUUGGGUGUCAAGCCCGAGCGCGCAAUGAAAGUGAACGGAGGUGGGAACCCUUUGGGUGCACCAUCGACCGAUCCUGAUGUCUUCGGAUGGAUUUGAGUAAGAGCAUAGCUGUUGGGACCCGAAAGAUGGUGAACUAUGCUUGAAUAGGGUGAAGCCAGAGGAAACUCUGGUGGAGGCUCGCAGCGGUUCUGACGUGCAAAUCGAUCGUCAAAUUUGGGCAUAGGGGCGAAAGACUAAUCGAACCAUCUAGUAGCUGGUUCCUGCCGA